Molecule: ribosomal RNA, 462 nt
Filed under: uncultured bacterium
Lineage: Bacteria
Description: partial 16S ribosomal RNA
Rfam family: Bacterial small subunit ribosomal RNA
Source: RNAcentral
GAUGAACGCUGACAGAAUGCUUAACACAUGCAAGUCAUUGGCGAAGCUGCGCUUGCGCAGUCUAGCCAAGGCGGACGGGUGAGUAACGCGUAAGGAACUUGCCCUGCAGACAGGGAUAACAGACGGAAACGACUGAUAACACCUGGUAUUGUCAGGCUGGCGCAUGCCGGCCUGAUGAAAGGAGACGCUGCAGGAGAGCCUUGCGUCCUAUUAGCUAGUUGGUGGGGUAACGGCCCACCAAGGCGAUGAUAGGUAGCCGGCCUGAGAGGGUGAACGGCCACGAGGGGACUGAGAUACGGCCCUUACUCCUACGGGAGGCAGCAGUGGGGAAUAUUGGACAAUGGGGGCAACCCUGAUCCAGCAAUUCUGUGUGCACGAAGAAGGUUUUCGGAUUGUAAAGUGCUUUCAGCAGGGAAGAAGAAAGUGACGGUACCUGCAGAAGAAGCGACGGCUAAAUACGUG